Molecule: ribosomal RNA, 253 nt
Filed under: uncultured bacterium
Lineage: Bacteria
Description: partial 16S ribosomal RNA
Rfam family: Bacterial small subunit ribosomal RNA
Source: RNAcentral
UACGGAGGGAGCUAGCGUUGUUCGUAAUUACUGGGCGUAAAGCGCACGUAGGCGGCUUUGUAAGUUAGAGGUGAAAGCCCGGAGCUCAACUCCGGAACUGCCUUUAAGACUGCAUCGCUUGAAUCCAGGAGAGGUGAGUGGAAUUCCGAGUGUAGAGGUGAAAUUCGUAGAUAUUCGGAAGAACACCAGUGGCGAAGGCGGCUCACUGGACUGGUAUUGACGCUGAGGUGCGAAAGCGUGGGGAGCAAACAGG